CAUAGUGUAGCUUAUCGCAAAGCAUCUGGCCUACACCCAGAAGAAUCCAUAUUUUAUGGACACUCUGA
RNAcentral lists this transfer RNA (68 nucleotides) under Rhabdomys dilectus (mesic four-striped grass rat). RNAcentral describes it as "tRNA-Val". It matches the Rfam family "tRNA". Rfam says of the family: Transfer RNA (tRNA) molecules are approximately 80 nucleotides in length. Their secondary structure includes four short double-helical elements and three loops (D, anti-codon, and T loops). Further hydrogen bonds mediate the characteristic L-shaped molecular structure. tRNAs have two regions of fundamental functional importance: the anti-codon, which is responsible for specific mRNA codon recognition, and the 3' end, to which the tRNAs corresponding amino acid is attached (by aminoacyl-tRNA synthetases). tRNAs cope with the degeneracy of the genetic code in two manners: having more than one tRNA (with a specific anti-codon) for a particular amino acid; and 'wobble' base-pairing, i.e. permitting non-standard base-pairing at the 3rd anti-codon position. Lineage: Eukaryota; Metazoa; Chordata; Mammalia; Rodentia; Muridae. The record is from RNAcentral.